This 596-nucleotide long non-coding RNA is filed under the name Theobroma cacao (cacao). Its description in RNAcentral is "long non-coding RNA (TCAC_LNC002173)". Lineage: Eukaryota; Viridiplantae; Streptophyta; Magnoliopsida; Malvales; Malvaceae. The record is from RNAcentral.
CAGAGUGUGACAGCUAUUACAAGUACUCAAAACAAAGUAUCUGACAGCAAAAUACGAGAGAACCGUAGACUAAUUCGGUGUCAAACCGGCUGUCAAUGUGAGUCACCAUGUUUUAAGCUAGAAACAUUGGAAGAAGGUAAACAGGUAAGGGCAAAAUCUAAGCAGUGUCAUUUGCCUUUGUCCAUAUAUUGUUUGCAUAACAUAGAAUAUAUUUAUUGAUGGAAGACUGUAGUUACACCGUUUGCAUCUUGACAGCUAAAUAACCUUAAAUAAAUGUACAAACUUGCCAUAGCCGCUAAAUUGAACUCCAUUAUUCUCUGCUACAUAUAGCAGCCAUGCUAAUCGAACUCAAACACCAAAUCACUUGAGGAACUAUCAAUCCAAAAGCUAAACAAUUCGGAAAAGAAAUCUGCAAAUAUGAUUACUGACCAGACAUACAAUAGCAUAGGAAAUGAAUGGUAUAAGUUUUUCGAGUGACAGGUUAAUUUUUGGUGCCAGCAUAGCGGUUGACAAAGGCCAGGGCAAUGCUUGUCAUGUGUGCAACUUUCUCAAUUUGGCUUCUUACAGUGGCUUUGACAUCUCCAUCUGUGGCAUUC